UGGGCGAAAGCCUGAUCCAGCCAUUCCGCGUGGAUGAUGAAGGCCUUAGGGUUGUAAAGCUCUUUUGGCGGGGACGAUAAUGACGGUACCCGCAGAAUAAGCCCCGGCUAACUUCGUGCCAGCAGCCGCGGUAAUACGAAGGGGGCUAGCGUUGUUCGGAAUUACUGGGCGUAAAGCGCGCGUAGGCGGCUUCGUCAGUCAGAUGUGAAAGCCCCGGGCUCAACCUGGGAUGGUCAUUUAGAACUG
Molecule: ribosomal RNA, 246 nt
Filed under: Tiarina fusus
Lineage: Eukaryota; Ciliophora; Prostomatea; Prorodontida; Colepidae
Description: Tiarina fusa partial Bacterial small subunit ribosomal RNA
Rfam family: Bacterial small subunit ribosomal RNA
Source: RNAcentral